This 384-nucleotide ribosomal RNA is filed under the name uncultured Anaerolineaceae bacterium. RNAcentral's name for it is "bacterial SSU rRNA". It matches the Rfam family "Bacterial small subunit ribosomal RNA", at positions 980 to 1382 of the family's 1533-position model. Lineage: Bacteria; Bacillati; Chloroflexota; Anaerolineae; Anaerolineales; Anaerolineaceae. The record is from RNAcentral.
UUUGACAUGCAAGUGGUAGGAACCGAAAGGCGACGACCUUCGGGAGCUUGCACAGGUGCUGCAUGGCUGUCGUCAGCUCGUGUCGUGAGAUGUUCGGUUAAGUCCGCUAACGAGCGCAACCCUCGCUGUGUGUUACAAGUGUCACACGGUACUGCCGGUCUUAAGCCGGAGGAAGUGGGGAUGACGUCAAGUCAGCAUGGCCUUUAUGUCCAGGGCUACACACGUGCUACAAUGGGCGAGACAGAGCGACGCGAAGCCGCGAGGUGGAGCAAAUCGCAGAAAAUCGCCCUCAGUUCGGAUUGGAGUCUGAAACCCGACUCCAUGAAGGUGGAAUCGCUAGUAAUCGCGCAUCAGCAUGGCGCGGUGAAUACGUUCCCGGGCCUU